This is a small nucleolar RNA of Ailuropoda melanoleuca (giant panda), 70 nucleotides long. Ensembl annotates it as small nucleolar RNA, C/D box 113-3. The record is from Ensembl. NCBI's taxonomy places the organism in Eukaryota, Metazoa, Chordata, Mammalia, Carnivora, Ursidae.
UGGACCAAUGAUGAGUAUCCUGGGGUGUCUGAAUCAAUGAUUUUGAUUAAACCCUUUAUCUGAGGUCAGA